UUAUGCUAAAAAAGGAUACAUAGAGGUUGGCAGGUUGCAUGCUGUUGUAUUCUUAACAAAUAUUUUAUUAGAAUAAAGAAAAAAGUAUAAAAAGGGUGGUAGGCUAAACCGAAAUCCUCAAUAAAAUCCUCAAUCUACUGUUUUAGGUUUUGGCAGGUUGUUGUUUGUGGAUCGGGUGUUUUCUUUGUUGCACCGCCGUGAAACUUCUGGGCGCCGCCAUGAAGCUCUUGUAGUGGGUUCCUUCAGGUUGUUGUCUCCUUUCCUUCCGACGUAAUUAAUCCUCCUUUGGCGAGCUUUUGUUGGGUCGCGGCAAGGCUCACGGUGGGAGGGAGUGGGCUUCGUGCAGUGGUU
Molecule: long non-coding RNA, 351 nt
Filed under: Medicago truncatula (barrel medic)
Lineage: Eukaryota; Viridiplantae; Streptophyta; Magnoliopsida; Fabales; Fabaceae
Description: long non-coding RNA (MTRU_LNC005502)
Source: RNAcentral